RNAcentral lists this long non-coding RNA (2366 nucleotides) under Canis lupus familiaris (dog). Its description in RNAcentral is "lncRNA (ENSCAFG00845015097.1)". The record is from RNAcentral. Lineage: Eukaryota; Metazoa; Chordata; Mammalia; Carnivora; Canidae.
UGCCUGAGACAUGUGCUGAUCAGGGUUUAUGAUAAAGGACUUUGAAAUGUAGAGUGCUGAGACUUUAGAGGGCAAGUUUAUGGUGCAAUUGAUGGAUCCUUUUAUUUCCUGCUCUUUGAACAUACAUACUUGUGGGAAAUUACAGGGAGGGGUUCAGCGUGGCCCAAAGCAAUAGACUUCAGCAUCUGGCGAAGCCAGAGUGUUUUCCCUCCUCAGGGAGGCCCCCAAUCUCUGCCCCCCACUGCAUCCGUGCAGGUUGGCACAUGUGACAACAAAACUGGAUGCAGUUUAUUCCUGGGCAGAGCUCUUCAUUCAGCCUGUUCUGGAUGUGAGCCAGGUGUAAAAUGAAAAGCAGACCGUGUGCCCUUUGCUCCCCCCACUCCCUCCCCCAUUUCCUAUAAAUGAGCAAGCAGUUCGUUUGUUUGUUGCAAGUGUUUUAAUAAAAGUGUGGCCUUCCCACUUCAUUUUAGGACCAGAGCUGUGAAGCCGUGCUAAGCGGUGUCUAGAUAUUCUUGUAGGAACAUUCUGAUAGAUUGCAGUGUGAGUUCAGGAGAAACUUGAAAGUAAACAAGAGAUCUGGAGAACGGUCUCCCGGGUUUUUGAAGGGAUGGGUUUUCCUUUCACUCGUAGGAGCCACGCGAAGUAAGUCCUGUUUCUCUGGCAAUCAAAGGGAUAAAUAAGCCUGGGGUCCUUUUGUGUUUGAACAUUGGUGUCUCCAUGGAAAGUCUUUACUUGUAUAUAGAAAAACAGACUGUUUACCUGUUUUAGGGGUGGAGUCCAUAUUAUAAAAACAGCAACAGAAAUCUCAUAAAACUAGAGUCCACGUUCAGUAAAUUUCAGCUUACCUGAAAUCCAAAUAGUGAAUGGUGACUUGUCCCAGCCAUAUUCUCCUUCAAGAGAAGAGAGAGGAAAACAGUUAUGUUGGUCAGCAUGUCCAUUGGAUGAAUUGUAGAGUCUGUUCCUUUCCUUGUGGCUGGCGUGGGUUAUGACUACUGUAUCUACUACAUCUGGGCGCAUCAUGAAACAUGUCCUGUUGUCCCUGUCCUUAGAUAAAGAUACCUGAGCCUUUCAUUUGAGAUUCUUCACCCUCUGUCCCAGCUAUAUUUGCAGAUUUACCUUCUUCGACCCCUUUUCACAUUCCUUGGGACCCAACCCAACAACCCAACACAACCCUUUCGCUUGGUCUGCCUUUGGCCAUCCUUCUUCCCUGGGCCUUGUUUUAUGGGAACUGGGCUUGUGUCCCUUUGAUUCCUUCCACUUAUAUUUAGUGAGUACUUAACUAUGCACUAGCCCUUGUGCUCGGCUCUGGGGAUGCAACCCUGAUGCAACAAAGAUGCGAUCCCAUUUCCAUAUCCCCAAACUAUUCCUUUUCUUCCAGACCAAGGUGAAUGUGUCAGUGAGGUAUUUCCUUUCUCUUCCCAGCUAGAAGCAUCCUUCCCUCCCUCCCUGCAGUGAAAGCAUCUUUUCCUGUUCAUCUGCCGUGGGAUUUACUCCCUUUUUCCUUUGCAUUCUCUGUUCAUGAACGGAGCUUACCUUCCUUGCCCGACUUUCUAGAAAGCAGGGCCUGUAGCACAAUUCAGCUUCACGUUCCCCAUAGUGUUUAGUGCAACCAGUUACCCGUUUGGCAAUAUUUAUUAUCUACUCUGUGCCACAUACUGUUCAGGACAUUCUGUAAGUACUGGUAUUUUAUAGAUAACUUUGGAAUGCAUGAAAAAUGUGGGCCUCGGAAGGACUGUCUGAUGUUAAUGCUAGAGAGCAAAAGAGGGCUGAGGUUGAAAAAGGUGUCUCCUCUUUGCAAGGGAAUGGGUAAUGCCCCAUGAGGUCUGCUUUCUGGAAUCACAUAGAAGCAAUGUGCUUCUGCCAGAAUAACAUUUCUAUUAGAUCUAAAUCAGAAUCCCUUUCUUUUUUAAUUUAAUGAUUAACUACGUCUGUUUCACCUGGGCCUCCUUUUGCAUCAAAAAUCCUCAUGUCAAGCAACGUCACGUUACAAACUGAUUUCAGAUUUUGUAAUAUUGGGGCUCGCGACUUCAAAUUCUAAAACCUGCAGUUGACUUUAAACCAAAAGAAGUUGAAGCGUAGCCUGACCAUAACCUGCUUACCAGAUUUUACAGUCCUCUUUACAUGACAACUAUAACUUACAUUUUUGUUUUGAUCCUAAGAACAUCAAAGUAUUUUGCGUGUUUGUGUUACUGAACUCUGAAACCUCCAAAUCACAUCGAUCUGUUGACUGAUUUAAUAUUGACUAUUUUGGGUUUAUAUUUGCUUUAGACUCUUGCAUUUUGAAAGGGGGGAAAAGUUAAAUACAGUUUGUUGAUUUUAUUUAAGUACACAGUACUGUUUGUGCCCGUAACUUCCGCUUAUCUGAU